RNAcentral lists this transfer RNA (84 nucleotides) under Flavobacteriales bacterium. RNAcentral's name for it is "tRNA-Leu". It matches the Rfam family "tRNA". From Rfam's summary of the family: Transfer RNA (tRNA) molecules are approximately 80 nucleotides in length. Lineage: Bacteria; Pseudomonadati; Bacteroidota; Flavobacteriia; Flavobacteriales. The record is from RNAcentral.
GCCCAGGUGGUGAAAUUGGUAGACACGCUAGCUUGAGGGGCUAGUGGCCGCAAGGCCGUGCUGGUUCGACUCCAGUCUUGGGCA